GCGCGCCUCUCUAGCCGACAAGUCUUCAAGGUGCACAGUGGCAAGGCGCGUUGCUGGACGUGCGCACACCUUUGCAGUCACUAGUGUAGGUAUGCGAUCUUCACGUUAGCAUCACUCCCUACCGACAAACACAAUACAGGCGAGGCGCCAGGCUGGACAGCUGAUCUUGAGCUUCGCUCGCGCAAAGAGAGGUGCCGAGUGCAGGGGAGGUGCGAGUCGCCUCCCAUCCGUAGGAUAGGCAAACAGUCAUCACCUACUGAAGGCGAAUGAUCGAUGUGCAGUGUGGGUGCGAGUAAAGGCGGACGGCGUUGAUAGGGGGAGGGGAAGGGCAGGGUAGCGGAUCGGUGCUGAAGUGCCGGUGCUACUGUGUGUCUCUGAGUCCAAGCAAUGGCGCAAUGAACUCGAGAUAUAGGACACUAUCACAACAUGGAGCUUUUUCUCCCCCAGUCUCUCCAAUUUCGUGCUUCGGCUCGUUCGAGUGUCUAGGAUACCCACCAUGUG
RNAcentral lists this unclassified non-coding RNA (501 nucleotides) under Leishmania donovani. RNAcentral describes it as "gene:unknown". Lineage: Eukaryota; Euglenozoa; Kinetoplastea; Trypanosomatida; Trypanosomatidae. The record is from RNAcentral.